UAGACCAUUGGUGAGAUUGGGGGAUGUCUGAAUCAAGAAUUUUGAUUAAACCCUAUCUGCAACCCUGAGGUCCUU
Molecule: small nucleolar RNA, 75 nt
Organism: Loxodonta africana (African savanna elephant)
Lineage: Eukaryota; Metazoa; Chordata; Mammalia; Proboscidea; Elephantidae
Gene: SNORD113-8
Product: small nucleolar RNA SNORD113/SNORD114 family
Source: Ensembl